AACGAACGCUGGCGGCAGGCCUAACACAUGCAAGUCGAGCGCGCCCUUCGGGGUGAGCGGCGGACGGGUGAGUAACGCGUGGGAACGUGCCCUUUGCUACGGAAUAGUCUCGGGAAACUGGGGGGUAAUACCGUAUGUGCCCUUCGGGGGAAAGAUUUAUCGGCAAAGGAUCGGCCCGCGUUGGAUUAGGUAGUUGGUGGGGUAAUGGCCCACCAAGCCGACGAUCCAUAGCUGGUUUGAGAGGAUGAUCAGCCACACUGGGACUGAGACACGGCCCAGACUCCUACGGGAGGCAGCAGUGGGGAAUCUUAGACAAUGGGCGCAAGCCUGAUCUAGCCAUGCCGCGUGAGCGAUGAAGGCCUUAGGGUUGUAAAGCUCUUUCGUGGGGGAAGAGUAAUGGACUGGUACCCCAAGAAGAAGCCCCGGCUAACUCCGUG
This 437-nucleotide ribosomal RNA is filed under the name uncultured bacterium. RNAcentral describes it as "bacterial SSU rRNA". It matches the Rfam family "Bacterial small subunit ribosomal RNA", at positions 29 to 507 of the family's 1533-position model. The record is from RNAcentral.